AUUCUCAGCACUUUCUUGCCCUCACCUUCUUUCCUCCCCAAAAUACUUUCCCCCUCUCUCUUCCAGGACUUGGCCUUCUUCCGACCUUAGUGGUUUCCAGCUCAUGCAAGACCACCAGUCUCACUGCAGAGCAAGGCUGGUCCGUCUCCCACAGCAGCCCGGCGACGACUCAUCCACCUGGCCCACGCUACCUGCUCAGCAUCUCCAUCCCCAAUCACCUUGUCACCGCUCAAGGCAGGCAGCCUUGAAAUCUGCCUCAACUCAGAACAGAUGCAAUACAUCGACACUCCUGGUUGGAAGAAGGAGGGCAGAUGACCAGAUUUACCCGCUGCACUAGGCAAAGCUAGAGAAAGGAGAGGGAGAGCACGUGUGAGCAAGUGUCCGGCAGCAGGGAAACACUGCUCCAGGCACAGAGCCGGCAUCGCCUAGCGCGUUGUCAGACUGCCACCGCAGACAAAGGACCCUCACCAAAGCAGUUUUGCAGCUCUGAAAGCGCUGCAAAGAGCGAGCGUCUUUCUGCACGGAUCCUCUGUGCAUCUGCAGUUCUCCCUACAUCUGCGAGGAUGAAAGCAGAGCCCUGCAGCUGGGGAAACCAGGAACAGUCUGCUGGAAGAAGGGCUGGAGACAAAGGUCUGCCAUCAUCCUGUGGGAAUAGGAGAGCUGUCUGGAAAACUCAGUGUGAUCAGUGCUUGAAGACAACCUACAAGUCCUUUUCUGGGUAACUCUUGCUUUUGUUUUUUUUCCCUUUUUCAAGUAUUUAAUU
RNAcentral lists this long non-coding RNA (763 nucleotides) under Struthio camelus australis. RNAcentral describes it as "lncRNA (ENSSCUG00000017490.1)". Lineage: Eukaryota; Metazoa; Chordata; Aves; Struthioniformes; Struthionidae. The record is from RNAcentral.